GGUUUGUUUGUUUUGAUAUUGAGCUAUAUGAGUUGUUUAUAUGUUUCACAAAAGCCUUUCAUAAAACUCAUUUAUGAUUAAAAAAAAAACUUUUCAGAAAGUGGGCAUAGGAGGCACCUACCUCAGCAGCAUCAUGAAAAAAAAAAAAAUCAGCACUUCCAGAAGAGAUGAGGCCUGAGACCUGACUUUGGAGAUGCUGAAAGGAUCCCAUGUACACACAGUGCUCAUGGAGCUGGUGUAAGCCUGAGGCCUCUGGCAGUCAUCUUGUGGAAUCCAAAUGGAAUCAGUGGGUACAUAUCAGAGAAAGAAAAGGAAGAUCAAGCUGUGCGCCUGCCAGUGUCCAC
This 344-nucleotide long non-coding RNA is filed under the name Capra hircus (goat). RNAcentral's name for it is "lncRNA (ENSCHIG00000000774.1)". The record is from RNAcentral. Lineage: Eukaryota; Metazoa; Chordata; Mammalia; Artiodactyla; Bovidae.